RNAcentral lists this long non-coding RNA (754 nucleotides) under Dromaius novaehollandiae (emu). Its description in RNAcentral is "lncRNA (ENSDNVG00000016732.1)". Lineage: Eukaryota; Metazoa; Chordata; Aves; Casuariiformes; Dromaiidae. The record is from RNAcentral.
UUUUCAGUAGUCGAGGAACAUUGGAGARCAAGGGCAGUCUAUCCAAAUGACCUUUCCUUUAAUUGUACCUCCUGCUCAUUCAGAUUAACAAGGCUCUACUGUCCCUAAAAACAGGUCAAUGCUAAUCCUAUCUGUCCUUUAAUCUGCAGAAUACAUUAGGGUGUAAAUUAUUGUAAUCUCGGGGCAGCUGAGAUUUACCUACUAAAAAUCUGUCAUGGAUUAUUUGCUUUUUGUUUUCUCACAAAAUAAAAACAUUGAUGAAAAUCGAUACAGUCUACAGACAGAAGAUGGAGAACCUUGCCAGUGAAUUGACCUAUGUGUUUCAUAUGUGAAGUGUAAAAUGAAGGAUUGUGGGGAACGGUGGAUGUUCAGGGAAACCCUUUUGGAAACUAAAGAUUUAGAAGUCUCCUCAAAGAAAAAUAUUUUGGUGAAUGAUUUGAAAAAAGCAGACAGCCAAGGCGUGCUGACUUGCCUGGUUGAGGGAGGAAUUUGAAGCUGAGCAGACAGGGUGAAGUACUAAGGGAACGACAGAAGGAAACAAAGGCAGAACAGAAAAGUGAUGUCUCAAGGUUUGAAGAAGGACYGUACUGGGUCAGGGUGUUGGACGGUCUACCUUUUCCAUUUUUUCUCAGCUGCAGAGGUUGAACUUCCCUCAGGAAAAAUUGGGUGUGAGAGAAGAAAAAAAUUGGGAAAAACUCACAAGGGAUACGUCAAAGCUUUACAGUUUGCAAAUAAUGUGAUUACAGAUUCUUAA